RNAcentral lists this transfer RNA (72 nucleotides) under Dreissena polymorpha. RNAcentral describes it as "transfer RNA glutamic acid (anticodon CUC)". It matches the Rfam family "tRNA". Rfam says of the family: Transfer RNA (tRNA) molecules are approximately 80 nucleotides in length. Their secondary structure includes four short double-helical elements and three loops (D, anti-codon, and T loops). Lineage: Eukaryota; Metazoa; Mollusca; Bivalvia; Myida; Dreissenidae. The record is from Rfam by way of RNAcentral.
UCCCAUGUGGUCUAGUGGUUAGGAUUCCACGCUCUCACCGUGGCGGCCGGGGUUCGAUUCCCCGCUUGGGAA